Molecule: ribosomal RNA, 460 nt
Filed under: uncultured bacterium
Lineage: Bacteria
Description: partial 16S ribosomal RNA
Rfam family: Bacterial small subunit ribosomal RNA
Source: RNAcentral
CCUACGGGUGGCAGCAGUGAGGAAUAUUGGUCAAUGGACGAGAGUCUGAACCAGCCAAGUAGCGUGAAGGAUGACUGCCCUAUGGGUUGUAAACUUCUUUUAUAAAGGAAUAAAACGAGGCACGUGUGCCUUUUUGCAUGUACUUUAUGAAUAAGGAUCGGCUAACUCCGUGCCAGCAGCCGCGGUAAUACGGAGGAUCCGAGCGUUAUCCGGAUUUAUUGGGUUUAAAGGGUGCGUAGAUGGGUUGUUAAGUCAGUUGUGAAAGUUUGCGGCUCAACCGUAAAAUUGCAGUUGAUACUGGCAGUCGUGAGUACAGUUGAGGUAAGCGGAAUGCGUGGUGUAGCGGUGAAAUGCUUAGAUAUCACGAAGAACCCCGAUUGCGAAGGCAGCUUGCUAAACUGUGACUGACAUUGAUGCUCGAAAGUGUGGGUAUCAAACAGGAUUAGAUACCCCAGUAGUC